This is a long non-coding RNA of Pipra filicauda (Wire-tailed manakin), 5825 nucleotides long. RefSeq lists it as uncharacterized. The transcript has 6 exons. The record is from RefSeq and is a predicted model, not a curated record. NCBI's taxonomy places the organism in Eukaryota, Metazoa, Chordata, Aves, Passeriformes, Pipridae.
CCCACUGCCCUGGGGAGCCUGUUCAGUGCCCAGCCACCCUCUGGGGGAAGAACCUUUUUCUAAUAUCCAACCUAAGUUUGGAUAACUUGUACCCUUAUCAGAGAUGUCAUUUCUCUUUAUUAUGUAUUGCAUGCAAACAGUACAUUCUGAUUCAGAUCUCAUCUUGCUGCCAAAUCUGGAAUAAUUGUGACAUGUAAUUUUUUCAAAUUAAUUCGAAUAGUGAAGAUCAUUCAGUUGUCAGCAGAAGUGGAAAGAGAAAAGUGAUGUUCUGUGCUAAUUGGAUGAGAGCUGAGGAAUCUUUGAUGCAGAGCUGCAGGGCAAAAUUCUGAUUCAAUUCACGUUGGUGUUUCAACAUUUACUUCAAUGGCAUUUUGUUAUCACCAUCAGUUCCAUUUCUUGGGUAACACAGGACUUCAGCAGCUGGUGUUUCACACGCUGACCAUGAUCCACAAGAAAUUCGGCUGUUGGGGAGUUAAAAUACUUUAGGGGUCAGUGAAACAUGGAAUGAGUGACCAAGGUUCCUUCAGUAGGUCACAGUUUGCAGUUCCUGAGGACCUGAAAUAUAGUGAAGAUCAUAAUAUUCAGGAUUUAUGAGCAUCUCACAGAAGCUACAACCUCAUAUAAUUAAGAGCUAACUUGGGCUUCAGUUUGUGGAAGGAAAUAUAGGAAGUUUAGAGUCAAUCAGCAGCUGAAGACAAGAAGAUGAAAGACCACAUUGAUUAGAACUCACAAUAAACAAGGUCCAGCUUAGAAGAGCAAUAUCUGUUUUGAGACUGAAGUCGUGUAUCACAACUCCCCAAAAGUCAUGGUUCCAGUUCCCAUAUUAUUAUUAUUAUUCCCUAAUAAAACUAUUAUUUAGUUUUAUAUCCACCUGGGAUAGAGUAAUCUUUGGGAUGGUUCCAUCUAUUCAACCUCCUGCUCACCAACUUCUGAAGCAAGACUUGAGAAGGAAAGCAGAAUAGCUUUAAAUUCAGGAAUUUUUAGUUUCAUCUUAAGGAAAACUAGGACUUAAUAACAUUCCUACACAGUAAAGUUACUGCUUUCUAAGAGAUGAAGUCAGGAUUUAUGUAGUGCUUUACAUCCUCAUUUAGGCAAAAUAUGUAUGUACAGUAAGAUCACUGCUGUGGGGGUUGUGCUUCUGCUCUUUUGCAGAUGCAGAGAGUCUUUUUGAGAAAUUAUUCUUCAGCAAAGACUGAGCUAACUUGUUUUUCUGUUGAAGUAUAAUUUCUUGGACAGUUGUGUCGUGACAGCUCCUCACCUGCUGUAUUGCAGCUCAGUGUGCUGUUUCUUAAUGGUGCCAAUGCCACCUUGCUGCAGGCUUUGGAAGGUCAGGCUGCUCAGCAAUUUAAUCUCAAUUCACCUGAUGGACAGAGGCAGUGGUGGUUUCUCUGGGGUCAGUCCUACUGGUGAACUUUUAGCCUGAAAAGUGAGCCCAAGGCAGAAUUGGAUGGAUCUCCUGUUGCAUGACUCAAGGCUGGAGACUGACACUAUCAGAAGCAAAGUCAGAACAGUUUCAUCAUGGAAAUUUCUGUGCUAUUGUAAAAUACACUUUGCUUCCAAACAGCAGCAAACUGUAAUCAGGAGAACACCUUCAGACUAUGCAGCUGUGAUCUCAUGUAUUUUGGAAUCAAACCCUUUAACAUCUUUAUCCACCAAGUAAAAUGCAGCCUUGCCUGGCACACUCUUCCAGUGAGGUCAAAAGUCAGAUGGUUUCUACAAAGAGUCCCACCGUUUUCACUUGUGCUUCUUAUUUUUAUAUAAUUAUGUCCUUCUAGGGCUGGACACAAAAGAAUGCAUUGAAAAGGAAUUCCUGAGAUCUCAUAUGGCCCAUCUUCCAUAUGCCCCCAGAAGAGAAAAUUGCAUUAUUUUCUUUUGGAGUACCUGUACCUUGAGAAAGUGAAGAUUAGUCUUUUUGGCUGAAAGUUGGUGUUCAAUAGAUGCAGCAGCAUCAUGGAACUGCACCUUCAUUUUCUCCAUUUAGGAGAAAAAAAUGCAUUAUUUAAAAUCUGAGAUUCUUUUUAUGAAUCUUAUUUGUAGACUGAAUGCUUUUUGCUCAUUCUAACCCAAGCACAGACUCUAUUUAAAGAGAGCCCUUGUUGGUUUGGUGCUGCCAUUUGGGUGAAUUCCUAGAGAAGAUGUUAAUGGAAGAUCCUAGAAGUCACAGCUUUUAUAUCAAGGGGAAGGGAUGGCUGGAAUCCAUUGCCCUUCAGUGCCCCUGGCCUUGAGCCUGACAGGUCUGAGGUUUAUUCCUUAGGUGGGAUGAAAUAAACUCAUGAAAAACCCCUGGGAGGUACUUGGAAAAUAGGUGUAUUUUCAGAACAGGAAACUAUCACUGGCCAGAUAAAUAUCAAAACUAUUAAACUCUUGGAGUGCCUCAUCCCCAGAAGGAAAAGGAUCACUUUCAGGUGCAGUUUUUGACUCUCAGUCUCGCUGUUUUGCUGUGGGUUGUCAGUCCUGUCCAAACACCAGCAUUUCUUCUCAGCUGGGAGUUGGGAAUUCCUGCUGUCAAGCCCCCCUGAGGAGGUUGGGACUGAGCCUUAAGUUGCUGUUACUAUUAAAGAUCUGAAGACUGUGGUCCCAGAGACAAGGCCUUGUGCUCUCAGUUGCUGAGACUGGAUCCUCCCCCUCCCAAAGAGGUGGCAAAUACAACCCCAGCACUAAGGACAGCAGAAAGAGUCUUAAAUCCAGGACCUACCUGUUCUGUAGCCCCCAAAACUUGGAGCAAAAAUGAUUUAAUGGCUUGCCUUCACCACAGCUGGCAGAUGUAAGUCAGAGGUGUCUCAAGACUGUUUGGUUUAUAAUUGAUCUGAGAAUUGUCUUGGUGACAAUUGUCUGGGUAAGUCAGCACUGGUGACUAAGUGGCCACUUCCAUGCAGUAGUUUGUGUAUGAGGAAUUCUCAACUUUUAUUCCCACGUUGUGGUUUCUUUAAACCAUGUCCAAAGAUUUCUGAAACAAAGAGCUUGAUACAAAUUUUGGACACAGGAGCAAAGUUUGAAGACCAUGAGUUGUGUUUGUGAUUUAACACGGAAUUCUGACCACGACCUGUCAUCGCUGGUUCUUCAAGGCUUAGCACUGAAAAUUGCAUUCGACAAAUGUUUGAGAGCUCAGUGUGUUUUUAUAAGAACUGUUGUCUUUAGAAUUACACAAGGAUCAGAUAAGGGGAGAAACAUGAUUAUUUCCAAACAAUGUAAAAUCAUCAGCAUUUUCAAAGUACUUUAAAAUUUGUGGUUUUGUCUUUAAUUGUGCUGUUACUGUGCUUGCUCAUGAGUUGUGGGUGAUAACAUGUGAUUAUCAUCUGCCUACUUGAUCACAUGCACAUUUGUGAUGCUUGCAAGAGAAAACAUUAUCUGGCUGGUAACUGUCAUAUUCUGCAGAGUUUAAGAGACUGUUUCCCAGACAACAGAAUAGUCAGAUUGCAUCCGUGAGCUGUGCACCGCCGGGUACCUGCACUCCAGUCAAACACCUGGUGGCAGCUGCUGCUCCCACUAAUGACACAGACGAGAUGGAACUGUUUGUACAACCAAAAUCAACCUGCCUGAACUAUGGAAGUCAAGGAAACUGCACAAUCUAAACAAUAAAAAAAAAAAAAGUCAAAAAUUUUAUGUCUAACAAGUCAAACAGCACAAACCCUGAGUCAGUUUUUAAAUUGAAACCAGAUCAUUUACUAGCCAAAAGGCAUUUAAGGGCCAUGUUUAAGACCUCUGCUGCCAGGCAUUAAUCCAAGGGCAGCUGUAUAAUGUGGUAAAUCAUUUCCCUGUGGCAAUUUGAGCACCUUAAAACAGCCCAGGGAGCAGGUGGAAGGGCCAACACUGGAAGCAGCUGGAGCGCUCAGGGCGAGGAGAGCUUCUCCAAGAAAAAGCAAUUCCAUGGUCAAGAUGAAGAGGCCAUUCUCUCUUCAGCAAAGACUACUUUAAAUCCUUUUGGAAUAUGCAUUAGCUCCUGUUAAGAGUUUCCUAAUUACAUUCUGUGAAUGCUACCCUAGGCUUUCCUCACUGCUUCCAUAAUUAAAGUACCAAACACUCUUCCCUCAUAUUGAGUGCACAGGUUUACAACAGGACACUUGCACUCUGAAUUGUUCUCAGGUUUUUCUGUCUGGAAAUCUCAGUUUGCCAUUACCUGAGACAUUGGAUCUGCUUUAUUUAAGUCACAUCCCUGAGAGUUAUGUGGUGUAAUUGUGCCUGUGGUGACAAGUAUCUGCAAAGGAAGGAAAAGCUACUUCAUCACAGAUGAGGACUUGUGGAAAUUGAAGUCUAAAAGACUGUUCUUGAGCAUGUGAAGCCCCAUGGACGGGGAGUGGAAUACACAGAUAACACAUGUGAUCCAGCCCCCUCUCGUGGUUUUUUCCACUCAGAAGGCAGGAAUGGAUCCAGCCUUAUUUCUUAAUAAAAAUAUAAACACCUGCAUCUUUUUCCUGAAAGCUGAUAUGUUACUGCUAUUUCAUCUCUUCUUUGAGGAUGGUAGGCAUUAGUCUCAGGAUAGAAGAUGAUAAUCUGUAAAAAUGUUUAUUUGCAUUUCAUAUGCAACUUGACAGCCAUUUUCACCAGAACACGGGGGGUUGGGGAAAGGGAUUUGUUGGCCAUUUCUAUAAUCUGAUUUUUCUUCAAAUUGAGGGAGGAAGAGCACUAAAUACUAAAGGAUAGAAAACUUCCCUGGUAGACUGAUAAAGUACAGAAACAAAUACAGGCAUUUGGUUGUCUUACACUGAUCUGUGAGGGUUUUUGGGUUGAACCAAAUUGCAUGAUACUAACAAAUAGCAAGUCAGUGUUUGUUAGUGGAUGAAGUGGAUGAAUGCACUGAACUUAGAGAAGUGUUAAAUGUCUUGCUAAAGCCGAGCUGGCUCCAGUGGUUGUUCUGGGGCGUGCAGAGCAUUGGCUAAAUCAGCCCUGACCACUUGUUCUGGCUCUGCAGCACUAGCAGGGCCUUUCUGUGAUUUUUCCAUUACAUUUAUGGUUCACUGUGCAGAAAACAGGAAUUCAGCUGCCCUGUUCCCUCACAGUGCUCAUCCUGGCCAUAGGAAGAGCUGUCCCACAGCAACAGCAGGAGCAGCUGGAGAUCAGGAGUAACUGCCCUCAGGUGGCACCUGUUCCAACCAGCUCACACAGCGUGGGCAGAGCUGAGGAUGUGCUGCACAGCUGUGGGUUGGCAGUGCAGCUCCCUUCACUGAGGCUGUGAGAUGCUGUAGAGCUCAGGGGUCUUAAAUGCUGUUUGCUGCAUUCCCAUCCUUCCCCUCUGCCUGGGGUCAAAUGAUGAGCACAGGCCUCAGGGACAGGAAUUUGGGAUGACAUCAGUUAUGAAGAAGGGAGGUGAAAGGCUCUGGAGUGGGAGGCCAGCUUGCUGGAGCAGUGGGAAGCAGCUGGUAGGACCCAACAUCAGCAGUGGAACUGUUAAUGCCACACAGACAACAUAAAACUGGUAAAGAAUCUGUUUAUUUUGAUAAAAACACAUUUUCAGUAUUGAAGAGGAAAUCUUUUUCUCCCACCUACAUUUCUUUGAAGACUCAAAGGGAUGCACCAAAGCAUAUGAAUGCUAAUCCAUGGUACAGUGUUCUGAUGGUACUCUGUUCUGACACAGUAAAUGUAUCCUCAUGUAAACUCAUUUGCACCUAACACCAUUUUUCCAGAAUGUUAUAUGUUGUGUAAUGGUGGCAUUUCCUCACUGGUGACUCCUUUGGAUCCUAAUCAGAGUUCUGGAAGGAUUAAAAUUACUUCAACACUCCUAUUAAAGUAUGAGCAAAGCUAGAGAAGUUGGUACCAUCCUACACUGGAGUAUUGCUGUGCUUUCUUUCUGAAGAGUAUUUGCUUAUUAAAAGUACCAUUUGGUGUGA